This is a non-coding RNA of Gossypium hirsutum (cotton), 73 nucleotides long. Lineage: Eukaryota; Viridiplantae; Streptophyta; Magnoliopsida; Malvales; Malvaceae. The record is from Rfam.
GGGAGUGUAGCUCAUAUGGUAGAGCGCUCGCUUUGCAUGCGAGAGGCGCGGGGUUCAAUUCCCCGCACUUCCA